UCUCACUUACAAGAGCAUAAAACUGCAUAACACGCAUAUAUAACAUCAUCCUAAAGCUUGUUCAAUGAGCAUUACAACACUAUUAACUCAAGAAAACCUCAGUAUAUACUCUCACCUGAACAACCUGCAGCUGAUUUUUCAUAUCAUACAUUAAACUUUAAAGUACGAUAGAGACCCAAAUAUAGCACACAAAUCUGCACAUAAAACCAAUAAUUCUCACAAUAAUUUCAGUUUAAACUUCUCAUUGAAUAAUUUCAACGCCCAAAGAUGUACAUUUUUUUCCUCAAACUAAACAUACCCAGUACCUCAAUUGCACACAAAGUUGCACAAAACAGCUCAAAAUUCCAAUCUAACAAAAAUAGGAGAUAAAAAGAACCCAACUUUCACAAUCCAAAAACAGAUGGUACACAGAGUAAUGUCCAAACUCCAAAGUAAUAGUUCAAAUACAUUGUGAGAAUUAGUAUAUGAAAAUGAGUCUUGACGGGAUCACUCGUGGGGGCGUGACCGUGUGAGUCGUAAGGCAGAGAACUAGUGAGGGCUUGACUGCUUGAGUCGUGUGGCCGGUGGCGGACUAGCAGAGAACUCGUGAGGUACGAAUUUUGAGGGUGAGGAACUGAGUGAGUGAGGCAUCUGGCGGAGAAAGUAAAAU
Molecule: long non-coding RNA, 649 nt
Filed under: Nicotiana benthamiana
Lineage: Eukaryota; Viridiplantae; Streptophyta; Magnoliopsida; Solanales; Solanaceae
Description: long non-coding RNA (NBEN_LNC019372)
Source: RNAcentral